RNAcentral lists this unclassified non-coding RNA (348 nucleotides) under soil metagenome. RNAcentral describes it as "partial contains 5.8S ribosomal RNA, internal transcribed spacer 2, and large subunit ribosomal RNA". The stretch from base 1 to 120 matches the Rfam family "5.8S ribosomal RNA", at positions 35 to 154 of the family's 154-position model. The record is from RNAcentral.
GAUGAAGAACGUAGCAAAAUGCGAUAAGUAAUGUGAAUUGCAGAAUUCAGUGAAUCAUCGAAUCUUUGAAUGCACAUUGCGCCCGCUGGUAUUCCGGCGGGCAUGCCUGUUCGAGCGUCAUUUCAACCCUCAAGCCCCCGGGUUUGGUGUUGGGGAUCGGCUCUGCCCUUCUGGGCGGUGCCGCCCCCGAAAUACAUUGGCGGUCUCGCUGCAGCCUCCAUUGCGUAGUAGCUAACACCUCGCAACUGGAACGCGGCGCGGCCAUGCCGUAAAACCCCAACUUCUGAAUGUUGACCUCGGAUCAGGUAGGAAUACCCGCUGAACUUAAGCAUAUCAAUAAGCGGAGGA